AUUCUACCUAUAUUCUUUUUGAGAUUUCUUGCUAUUUAAACACUUGUCAAAUACAUUUGGACACCGGAAAUACCCAUCUUUCCUCUCCUCUUUGUCAGGGCCAGUAUCUUGCCUUAGCAGAUGAACACAGGAAAAUCAGUCUUCUCAGCCUCUGCCAUAAGAGAUCCGCAAACAGGGACUCUCUGGUGCUUAUCUUGUUUGGAGGAGAUGGAGUAUUUCUUCAAGAGGAAGUACAAGAUGUUUCUCUGAUAUCAUUCAAUCCAGGGCAUAGAAGAACUUAA
RNAcentral lists this long non-coding RNA (281 nucleotides) under Anser brachyrhynchus (Pink-footed goose). Its description in RNAcentral is "lncRNA (ENSABRG00000006085.1)". The record is from RNAcentral. Lineage: Eukaryota; Metazoa; Chordata; Aves; Anseriformes; Anatidae.